Long non-coding RNA from Mirounga angustirostris (Northern elephant seal), 2550 nucleotides. RefSeq lists it as uncharacterized. The transcript has 3 exons. NCBI's taxonomy places the organism in Eukaryota, Metazoa, Chordata, Mammalia, Carnivora, Phocidae. The record is from RefSeq and is a predicted model, not a curated record.
UUUUUAUAUAUAGGAUACUUUUUGCUCAUAACUGGCCUAAUGUUCAUGACAACCUCAUAUGAUGGAUAUCCUCCUUCCUAUUUCCCAGAUAAAAACAGUGAGGCUUAGGAAAGUUCACAGCCUCACCUCACCGCCACUCUGCUGUUAAUCCUGAAAUGAACACCCUAACCCAAAUUUCAUCUAACGAGCAUCUCUGUGCCCCUAACAAAGGGACAGCUAACAGUCUUUGCAGGGGAGCCAGCGAUCCGGUCAGUUCAUUUUCCAUGUCCUGGUGUCCUUCCGUCUGCUUGUUCUGCUCGCUUUGAAAAUGUUGUGCUCAUUAGCAUCCCCAUCGCACACCGAAGAAAGGCAGGACCGAGAGAGCUGCUUCUGCCUGCUUCAAAGCAGCGGAACAGAUAAAUAAGGAAGAAGGCUUGGAAAGCACACCGGAACCUUCAACAUCACAGGAAGAAAAAAAAAGAAAAGAAAAGAAUUCAAGCCAUGAAGAUAAAGAAAGGGCAGAAGAAGAGAACAUAACAUCAACUAAUCAUUACAUGUAAGUACAACUUUUUCAGAUCCCCAUUUUCAUUAUUACCGUCCAUGAAUGUUUAACGAUGGCUUGCGAGACCCAUUGUUCCCAUGCUUUCUUCCCUGUAAUGUGGCUGCAGAUAUCGGCUCUGAUCCGAUGGUUAUUUCAUAGAGUCCCCAGGAUAUUGGGUGGUGGCAGAUGCAGGCAACGUAUCGGGGUCUUGUCGGUGAGAUGUGGUCCGUGGGAGGUGGUUCAGUGGCUGAGAGACCUGUCACAGGCCACAGGUGGCAGAGGCGUGGGGAGUGGUGACAAGAAGCCAGUCAUGCCUCCAGGGCGGGAGGGAUCAGGGCAUGGGUGGUGUUGCCCACACCGUGGUGGGAGCUGGAACCAUAGGAGAGUCAGUACCAGCCAAAGGAUGCAACCCGAAGCAGAGAGGAGGAGGAAGAAAGAUCCCGGCGUCUCCUUUCUUCCUCCUCCUGGCAGCUCUCGAGGAGCCAGCUGGCGAGGGGGCCCGGGACGCAGACCCCGGGGAAGGCAGGGCGUGGGGUGGGCUGACAGCCAGCAAGCCAACACCAGUGCAGGCAGACACUGGCUGAACUUCACGAUCCCCAGACUAUCUUUAUUUUGCACGAGCAGAUGGAUGCUGUCUUGGCUUGCCACAGUGUUCUUGGUUCUGGUCCUGGUCUUCUCCAUGAUUUAUAAUAUUGCUCCACUGCCAUCCAGCUACCAGGCUUUUCCAUAAAGAAUCUGAUUUCAUUUUUAUGUUCCCCAUCACAAAAUGCACAUUAUAUUUCCUUUUCUCUUGGAAUUCAGGAAUUAUACCAGACAGGUCGCCAACUAAUCCUGGGAUUUGGGGCAGCCUUUCAAACUACAGAUUUUUUUUUUUUUAAGAUUUUAUUUAUUUAUUUGAGAGAGAGAGAGUGAGAGAGCACAAGAGGGGGGAGCAGGAGAGGGAGAAGCAGACUCCUCGCCGAGCAGGGAGCCCGAUGCGGGACUCGAUCCCGGGACUCCAGGAUCAUGACCCGAGCCGAAGGCAGUCGCCCAACCAACUGAGCCACCCAGGCGCCCUCAAACUACAGAUUUGACUGUGUUUUCACCUGCGGCUAAUUCUCUGUAUUUGGUCUGCUUUCCCUCCUUUCAGGAUUCUCAUCACUCAUGGGUUGCCUCUCCAGCAUCUUUCCUCCAGGUCACUUACAUCAUUUUCUUCACAAUUCCCAUUACCAUGUUUUUACCUUAGAGACUUUUUCCACCUGUUUCUCAAAACAAGGAAUAGGGUUUCUAAACUAGGCUUUCUGGGAGGUUAUCAUUUCUUUACAUAUUCAAAUAUGGUGCAGCUCAUAGCAGGUGCCUAGUAAGCACCUGUGGAUGAAAGAAUCUAUCAACUAGUCAGUAACAUAGUUAUUUUCAGUUUGCAGAUUACAGAAUAUGUGGAGGUAGGUAUAGAGGUAUAACGAUGUGGGUGUACAUGUAGAUGACUGUUCAAAUAUAAAAAUAAUGCUGCACUUGGAAACGUUUGGAUUUCUAAGAGUUACACAGAACACACAAAUAGGACUCUUACAUAAAGGCAAUCACGGAAUGAUAUACAAGCAAAUAUAGACUUUUCAGUGCAUUCUGCCAUUAAUUUUUUUUCUUUUCUAGUUCAAAACAGGAAGCAAUGGCCGAUGGCGUGCAUAAAUUUAUUGACCGUUGUACUUAAUAGAAAUCUAUGGGUUUCAAGCAGAACACAAUUUUUUGAGUUCUAUUUUUUUUUAUGAAACCAUUUGAAAUGUUACUUUGUUUUCUCAACUGGGAAUGAAUAUAAUCAUGCUAUUUUAAGGAACAGUUUUUUAAUGAUAUAGAGGAGACUAGAAUUUUAAAAGAGAAUCUGUGUGAUGUUUUAACCAUAUCAAUGUUAAAGCCCCUUUUAUAGAGCACCCAGCAGCGUGCCCAGCGCCCACUCAUCAUGAAUAAGGACAAUGGAAGUGCUUACCUAAGUAUUGCAGACACAUUUGAUUUGUAAAUGCGCAUGUUUAUGGAAUUCUCCAUCUUUAUCCAUUAAUUGG